UCUAGUGGGAGGGAGCUUGGCUGGAGCGAUGGAUGAUGUGACAGACUGCAGUACAGUGUGAAAGAGGUGUGGACGUGUGUGUGUGUGUGUGUGUGUGCACGCAGGCACACAUGUGGAGUGUGCAAGGUGCGUGUGUUUGCACCUAUGUCUUUCCCUGUUCCUCUAUCUUGAUUAUACUGGAUCAGGUAGGUUGGGAACUGGCAGGCGGGACA
Molecule: non-coding RNA, 212 nt
Organism: Arvicola amphibius (Eurasian water vole)
Lineage: Eukaryota; Metazoa; Chordata; Mammalia; Rodentia; Cricetidae
Product: small Cajal body-specific RNA 2
Exons: 1
Source: RefSeq, a predicted model, not a curated record